GCUGCCGUUUCCAUCGCAGGAGAUCCAGCAACUCCUGGCUUGACUUGCGGCAGUCCCAGUCGUUCAUGUAUUCGGAGGCUGAGAGCAUAGAAGACCUGAAGCAAGCGGCCAAGAGGCUGACUCAGGACCAGCACUUCCGGGAGACCAUCUAUCAGAUCAUGAUAUCGCGCCAGAGCUCCUCCUCAGGCAACAAAAAGUGAACUUUUGCUCCUUCUCUUGGGAGGGAGAGUCCGAACUCAGCUUGCCACCAUUCCACUCGGCCAAAAACCAAAUUGUUGCGAUGAGGAGGCGGAAUUGAGAUGCCCGCUUGCAGUGCGCUCUUUCUGAGGGAAUGAUGGGCGGUGACUAGAACACUCUCCAUUGGUGGAGGUUGUGGUUUGCCACCAUUCCUGAGGGGAGAGGAGCCAUUUUGCCAAGCAUGUUAUGACUUUUCUGCCAGCUGCCCCGUCCCAUCAGCUGAGACUCCCAGUUAGAUGUGCUUUGUCAAUACUCCAUAGUUUGCCUCAAAUCAAAACCACAGCUUACUCUUAAAGAAUGUUUGGCCAAACCUUUCAGACUAGGGGACUAGUUUGACCUGCAAUUACACAAUAGGAGAGUCUUUUUUUCAAUGUGGUGAGAGGAAUGAUAUUCCUAUUCUGCUUCCUUGGGUUUCUGGUUGAAUAUGCAAGUAUGACUAAAACGCUCCUCAGCUUAUGUGCAGGCAGUUCCCCUAAGCAUAGGGUGGCCACUUAGGAGACAGUAUUUAUUCCGCUUUGGCUGCAAAAACUACAUGCUUCUCGUAUACCAUUUUUGUGCUUCCCACUUCCUCAGAGUGGCAGGACGUUUCAAGGGCAGUCUUCCACAGAGUUGGUUCUCAUGCACGGCAAGAGGUCUGAGGACUUAACAGGCUUUUUAUGGGGUUUGUUUACAAAUUCACAAGCAGGCCAGGGUGGCGGCGGCAGAUAGAUAGCGCUACACUUUUGAAGCUCUUUAAAACAAUAGGUUACCUUUGUAGCUUUCCCAAGGCUGCUUCUUGCUAGCCAGCGGCAAAAUUUACGUCGUCUUAUUUAUUGCCCAAAUUCAGGUGGCUCCCUCCCCUCCUGGCUUUCCUCAAUAAGCACACAAUAUUAGCAUCUGAAACACACUCUGCUGUCAGUGAGGCCUGCACAUCCCAGCACCUUGGAGUAGCCACUAGCUAUCAGGCAAGUCAGCCUAGGCAGAUGGUUGUAACGUGACUUUGCCCUUUCAUAAAUCUCUUUUCAUAAUGUUGUGCUGCUAA
Molecule: non-coding RNA, 1258 nt
Organism: Podarcis muralis (Common wall lizard)
Lineage: Eukaryota; Metazoa; Chordata; Lepidosauria; Squamata; Lacertidae
Source: RefSeq, a predicted model, not a curated record